Molecule: ribosomal RNA, 492 nt
Filed under: uncultured bacterium
Lineage: Bacteria
Description: partial 16S ribosomal RNA
Rfam family: Bacterial small subunit ribosomal RNA
Source: RNAcentral
AGUGAACGCUGGCGGUAGGCCUAACACAUGCAAGUCGAACGGCAGCACAGUAAGAGCUUGCUCUUACGGGUGGCGAGUGGCGGACGGGUGAGGAAUACAUCGGAAUCUACUUUUUCGUGGGGGAUAACGUAGGGAAACUUACGCUAAUACCGCAUACGACCUACGGGUGAAAGCAGGGGAUCUUCGGACCUUGCGCGAUUGAAUGAGCCGAUGUCGGAUUAGCUAGUUGGCGGGGUAAAGGCCCACCAAGACGACGAUCCGUAGCUGGUCUGAGAGGAUGAUCAGCCACACUGGAACGGAGAAACGGUCCAGACUCCUACGGGAGGCAGCAGUGGGGAAUAUUGGACAAUGGGCGCAAGCCUGAUCCAGCCAUACCGCGUGGGUGAAGAAGGCCUUCGGGUUGUAAAGCCCUUUUGUUGGGAAAGAAAAGCAGCAGGUUAAUACCCCGCUGUUCUGACGGUACCCAAAGAAUAAGCACCGGCUAACUUCGUG